Molecule: ribosomal RNA, 244 nt
Filed under: uncultured bacterium
Lineage: Bacteria
Description: partial 16S ribosomal RNA
Rfam family: Bacterial small subunit ribosomal RNA
Source: RNAcentral
UGGCGACCGGCGCACGGGUGAGUAACACGUAUCCAACCUGCCGUCUACUCUUGGACAGCCUUCUGAAAGAAAGAUUAAUACCCGAUGGCAUAGUUCUUCCGCAUGGUAGAACUAUUAAAGAAUUUCGGUCAUCGAUGGGGAUGCGUUCCAUUAGGUUGUUGGCGGGGUAACGGCCCACCAAGCCUUCGAUGGAUAGGGGUUCUGAGAGGAAGGUCCCCCACAUUGGAACUGAGACACGGUCCAA